RNAcentral lists this ribosomal RNA (451 nucleotides) under uncultured bacterium. RNAcentral's name for it is "partial 16S ribosomal RNA". It matches the Rfam family "Bacterial small subunit ribosomal RNA", at positions 354 to 796 of the family's 1533-position model. The record is from RNAcentral.
GUGGGGAAUAUUGGACAAUGGGGGGAACCCUGAUCCAGCCAUGCCGCGUGUGUGAAGAAGGCCUUUUGGUUGUAAAGCACUUUAAGCGAGGAGGAGGCUACCGAGAUUAAUACUCUUGGAUAGUGGACGUUACUCGCAGAAUAAGCACCGGCUAACUCUGUGCCAGCAGCCGCGGUAAUACAGAGGGUGCAAGCGUUAAUCGGAUUUACUGGGCGUAAAGCGCGCGUAGGUGGCCAAUUAAGUCAAAUGUGAAAUCCCCGAGCUUAACUUGGGAAUUGCAUUCGAUACUGGUGGGCUAGAGUAUGGGAGAGGAUGGUAGAAUUCCAGGUGUAGCGGUGAAAUGCGUAGAGAUCUGGAGGAAUACCGAUGGCGAAGGCAGCCAUCUGGCCUAAUACUGACACUGAGGUGCGAAAGCAUGGGGAGCAAACAGGAUUAGAUACCCUUGUAGUCC